AUGCUUACCUGGCAGGGUGGACACCAUGAUCACCAAGGUGGUUUUCCCAGAGUGAGGCUUAUCCAUUGCACCCUGGAUGUGCUGUCCCCUGCAAUUUCCCCAAAUGUGGGAAACUUGGCCACAUAAUUUGUGGUAUUGGGGGACUGCAUUCAUGCUCUCCCCUG
Molecule: small nuclear RNA, 164 nt
Organism: Sorex araneus (European shrew)
Lineage: Eukaryota; Metazoa; Chordata; Mammalia; Eulipotyphla; Soricidae
Product: U1 spliceosomal RNA
Exons: 1
Source: RefSeq, a predicted model, not a curated record